Molecule: non-coding RNA, 1560 nt
Organism: Enterococcus durans ATCC 6056
Lineage: Bacteria; Bacillati; Bacillota; Bacilli; Lactobacillales; Enterococcaceae
Source: Rfam
UAUUAUGAGAGUUUGAUCCUGGCUCAGGACGAACGCUGGCGGCGUGCCUAAUACAUGCAAGUCGUACGCUUCUUUUUCCACCGGAGCUUGCUCCACCGGAAAAAGAAGAGUGGCGAACGGGUGAGUAACACGUGGGUAACCUGCCCAUCAGAAGGGGAUAACACUUGGAAACAGGUGCUAAUACCGUAUAACAAUCGAAACCGCAUGGUUUUGAUUUGAAAGGCGCUUUCGGGUGUCGCUGAUGGAUGGACCCGCGGUGCAUUAGCUAGUUGGUGAGGUAACGGCUCACCAAGGCCACGAUGCAUAGCCGACCUGAGAGGGUGAUCGGCCACAUUGGGACUGAGACACGGCCCAAACUCCUACGGGAGGCAGCAGUAGGGAAUCUUCGGCAAUGGACGAAAGUCUGACCGAGCAACGCCGCGUGAGUGAAGAAGGUUUUCGGAUCGUAAAACUCUGUUGUUAGAGAAGAACAAGGAUGAGAGUAACUGUUCAUCCCUUGACGGUAUCUAACCAGAAAGCCACGGCUAACUACGUGCCAGCAGCCGCGGUAAUACGUAGGUGGCAAGCGUUGUCCGGAUUUAUUGGGCGUAAAGCGAGCGCAGGCGGUUUCUUAAGUCUGAUGUGAAAGCCCCCGGCUCAACCGGGGAGGGUCAUUGGAAACUGGGAGACUUGAGUGCAGAAGAGGAGAGUGGAAUUCCAUGUGUAGCGGUGAAAUGCGUAGAUAUAUGGAGGAACACCAGUGGCGAAGGCGGCUCUCUGGUCUGUAACUGACGCUGAGGCUCGAAAGCGUGGGGAGCAAACAGGAUUAGAUACCCUGGUAGUCCACGCCGUAAACGAUGAGUGCUAAGUGUUGGAGGGUUUCCGCCCUUCAGUGCUGCAGCUAACGCAUUAAGCACUCCGCCUGGGGAGUACGACCGCAAGGUUGAAACUCAAAGGAAUUGACGGGGGCCCGCACAAGCGGUGGAGCAUGUGGUUUAAUUCGAAGCAACGCGAAGAACCUUACCAGGUCUUGACAUCCUUUGACCACUCUAGAGAUAGAGCUUCCCCUUCGGGGGCAAAGUGACAGGUGGUGCAUGGUUGUCGUCAGCUCGUGUCGUGAGAUGUUGGGUUAAGUCCCGCAACGAGCGCAACCCUUAUUGUUAGUUGCCAUCAUUUAGUUGGGCACUCUAGCAAGACUGCCGGUGACAAACCGGAGGAAGGUGGGGAUGACGUCAAAUCAUCAUGCCCCUUAUGACCUGGGCUACACACGUGCUACAAUGGGAAGUACAACGAGUCGCGAAGUCGCGAGGCUAAGCUAAUCUCUUAAAGCUUCUCUCAGUUCGGAUUGUAGGCUGCAACUCGCCUACAUGAAGCCGGAAUCGCUAGUAAUCGCGGAUCAGCACGCCGCGGUGAAUACGUUCCCGGGCCUUGUACACACCGCCCGUCACACCACGAGAGUUUGUAACACCCGAAGUCGGUGAGGUAACCUUUUGGAGCCAGCCGCCUAAGGUGGGAUAGAUGAUUGGGGUGAAGUCGUAACAAGGUAGCCGUAUCGGAAGGUGCGGCUGGAUCACCUCCUUU